This 253-nucleotide ribosomal RNA is filed under the name uncultured bacterium. RNAcentral's name for it is "partial 16S ribosomal RNA". It matches the Rfam family "Bacterial small subunit ribosomal RNA", at positions 524 to 776 of the family's 1533-position model. The record is from RNAcentral.
CACGGGGGGAGCAAGCGUUGUUCGGAAUCACUGGGCGUAAAGGGCGUGUAGGCGGUCAGGUAAGUGGGAUGUGAAAUGCCCCGGCUCACCCGGGGACCGGCAUCCCAUACUGCUUGGCUUGAGUACGGGAGAGGAUGUGGGAAUUCCUGGUGUAGCGAUGAAAUGCGUAGAUAUCAGGAGGAACACCGGUGGCGAAGGCGCACAUCUGGCCCGAUACUGACGCUGAGGCGCGAAAGCUAGGGGAGCAAACGGG